CAAAGCUGAAUUUUAUUAAUUAGUCCUGAAACUAACUAUUUUGAGCUUUUGGGAUUAUGUGCAGAGAGUGUAGCUCCUUGUUUUUAAAACUAAGAUUUGGGGAAUAGGUUUGUGGUGGGUUUGCCCACCUUAGAAUCUCAAACUGCACUUGGAAUAUAGGUGGGAAUUGCAGUGGUGUGACUGAGAUACUGCACUCAGGCCACCGAAUCUCCACACCUCCACCCCUGCCACUGCCCCCUGCACCCUCAUAUUUCUUGAGUGUUGAAAGUGCAUUUGUUAUCACUCUCUGCCUCAUUUUUUCAGUCUAUAGGGCUCUGGUGAAUUCUAGCCUGUUUGUGCUGUGUCUUGUGCCCUCCACUUGGAAUUUAGAAGAUGACAGAAAGAGAGAAUGAAGACAGAGACUGGUCGGCAAAGCCCUUUAUGAAGCCCAAACAAUGGAUGUUUCAUUAGGACACAGAGGAUGCUGUUUGCUAAGCAGAUCCUAUGUGGAAUAUCUGAAUGAUGGAUACCCUACUUGAUUUUUAUGGGAAAAUAAGGAUUUUCUAACUGUGAAGGGGCACAGGGUAGGGUGACCCCAUAAACUAUAAGUUUUCUUGGGACAUUCAAGUUUAUAUCCUGUCACCCACCCAGGUUAGCAUUUGUCUUUAAUUUUUUUAAGUAAAGGAUUAUUACCAAUAUAUGUAUUAAAAUACUCUGGGAUAGACUUGGAAGACCCUUAUGUUGUGUUUUCACUUCUCUCAUGGGCUUGCCUAGCAGUGUGUGAGAUGCAUGUGGAAUAAACAGAGUCCUCAUUUCAAUAAGUGGUCCAAUCUGAAAAGGAACAAUGAUGACCCAUUCUUCUAUUCCUAACUCUUUCUAGAUGCAUCCUAAAAUACCUUACAUGAUCCUCCAAUAUUCUCUCUUUCCUAUUGGAUAGAUGAGAUAAUCCACUUGAGGACUUGCAGGCUCUAAAAGAUGGUACAGCCGAUUGACAGGUGGUUCCAAGUCCCUGAAUGAAUGGAGGCAGGCGACCACUUGAUUAUGAAAAAUCAUGUGCAUCCUCAAGAAGCCAGCUGCUGUGUCAAAGGACACCCAAGCUGCCCUGUGGAAACAUCCAUGUGGUGAGGAACUGAGAACUCCUUUCAGCCACCAGCACCAACCUGCCAACAGUGCAGCAAGUGACCUUGGAAGUAGAUCCUCCAGCUACUAUCGAAGUCUUUAGAUGACCACAUCCCCAGGUGAGGCUACAAGAAGAAGGCAUCACGAGCCAAAAAGUGAGCCCUCACCAGGCACCUAAUCUCAUGAUCCUUUGAUCUUGGACCUCCCAGCCUCCAGGAAUAUACUACUGGAGUCACAGUUUGGUCUUCAAAUGAAUGAGAGCUCUGAAACAGCAGGUAUUUUAAAAUCAAGUCUGUAGGGACACGAAGAAUAUACAUGUUCAUGAGAUCUCAAGGUUGUGUACCUUCCAAUCAUUCCCGAAAUGGCUCAUGGCAUAAUUGGCACAGGUGAUCUAAAAAAUGCAAAUUUGGGUCUAAAGGUCAAGUGGCAUCCUUCAGAUGUAGUUGGCUUGGGACCCUGAAUAUGC
This is a non-coding RNA of Microcebus murinus (gray mouse lemur), 1564 nucleotides long. The record is from RefSeq and is a predicted model, not a curated record. NCBI's taxonomy places the organism in Eukaryota, Metazoa, Chordata, Mammalia, Primates, Cheirogaleidae.